CACUGCCGAGAAAAGCCUCUAGAUAGAAAAUAGGUGCCCGUACCGCAAACCGACACAGGUAGUCAAGAUGAGAAUUCUAAGGUGAGCGAGCGAACUCUCGUUAAGGAACUCGGCAAAAUGACCCCGUAACUUCGGGAGAAGGGGUGCUCUUUAGGGUUAACGCCCAGAAGAGCCGCAGUGAAUAGGCCCAAGCGACUGUUUAUCAAAAACACAGGUCUCUGCUAAACCGUAAGGUGAUGUAUAGGGGCUGACGCCUGCCCGGUGCUGGAAGGUUAAGAGGAGUGGUUAGCUUCUGCGAAGCUACGAAUCGAAGCCCCAGUAAACGGCGGCCGUAACUAUAACGGUCCUAAGGUAGCGAAAUUCCUUGUCGGGUAAGUUCCGACCCGCACGAAAGGCGUAACGAUUUGGGCACUGUCUCAACGAGAGACUCGGUGAAAUCAUAGUACCUGUGAAGAUGCAGGUUACCCGCGACAGGACGGAAAGACCCCGUGGAGCUUUACUGUAGCCUGAUAUUGAAAUUCGGCACAGCUUGUACAGGAUAGGUAGGAGCCUUUGAAACGUGAGCGCUAGCUUACGUGGAGGCGCUGGUGGGAUACUACCCUAGCUGUGUUGGCUUUCUAACCCGCACCA
This 630-nucleotide ribosomal RNA is filed under the name Staphylococcus aureus. RNAcentral's name for it is "partial 23S ribosomal RNA". It matches the Rfam family "Bacterial large subunit ribosomal RNA", at positions 1603 to 2234 of the family's 2925-position model. Lineage: Bacteria; Bacillati; Bacillota; Bacilli; Caryophanales; Staphylococcaceae. The record is from RNAcentral.